Molecule: long non-coding RNA, 2000 nt
Organism: Gadus morhua (Atlantic cod)
Lineage: Eukaryota; Metazoa; Chordata; Actinopteri; Gadiformes; Gadidae
Source: Ensembl
UUUAAAGUCGCAGUCAUUUAACACUUAAAUUAACAAAACAGAUUCACUUGUAUUACCUUUUACUUUUCUUUUUCUUAAUCCCAUAGAGUCUGUACCAACACUGAUGCCUGACAAGGAAGAGGUGCAAGGAGAAGACGAGAUGGGAGAAGGAGACGACAGCGAGAUCGGGGAAGGAGAAGACAGCGAGAUCAGGGGAGGAGAGGUCAUGUCAGAGACCAGACUGAGCAACACCCUGCCCCCUGAAAUCCCAACCCAAAUGGAGGUGUCAUCCAGUGGUAUUUCUUCUUCUAUAAAAGGUCGCCACACAACAACGAAGAAGCCUUGGACCAAAGAAGAAACAUCAGCUGUCGAAAGAAGCAUGAGCCGAAAAUUCAUUGAGAAGUUUGUAGUGCCAGGGAAAAAUGACUGCAUUGCCUGCAUCAAUGCAAACCCGGAAGCAUUAAAAGAGCGUGACUGGAGAGCAGUCAAAUUCCAUGUAAAGAACAAGAUCACAGCUCUCAAGAGAAAAGCCUUUAGCCAUUGACCCUGUCUGGGGGGCUUCUGUGGUAUUAACUUUUUAUUCGUCUGUGGCAGACCGUUUUAGUUUCAUUUUUUAUUUAUUUUUAUUUUUGCACAGUAGCUGGAGGAGUGUUGGGAAUCGCGCAUCAAAAAUAAUAGUGCCGUUAACACUGCAAAAAUUAAUAGGCUUAAUAUAAGAAAUAAAUACUUGGUUUGAGCAGAUAUAAGCUAAAAUUAAGUGAAAUAAUCUGCCAGUGCAGUAAGAUAAUCACACUUGGUAAGAUUUCUUAAAAUAAGAAAAAAUAAAUACAUAUUAGGCAAGUGAGAAAUAUCUUAAAAUAAGUGGUGAAACACUCAUUCCAAGUACUGUAUGCAAGUCAAAUAAUCUCAAAACUAGCUUUUCAAUUCUUAUUUCACCUUUUGUUUCUUUCUCAAAUUGAGUGAAAAAAACAUAAAUCCAGAGCAACUUAACAAGCUGUUUCUUCUUAAUUCAAGAGUUAUGAUUAGCUUUUAUCUUAAAUCAAUACAUUUAAAAUCAUACACAGAGAAUAUUGUUAACAGCAUUUAUUUGAAGUGUUUGCAGAUUCCUUACAAUAUUUACAAUCAUAACAUAAUAUUUGCAAAAUUAACCUCUGAAACCCAGAGGUAAGAGGCUAUGACCUCAUUAUCUUUGAUAACACUGAAAUAUCUCAAUCUCAUAAGACAGAACAUGGCUGAACAGCCUGAAUAGCUCUAUUUCUUAAUGAAAGCAUUCCACUCUGCCAUGACUCUUUUGUACGAGCCUGUGGUGUCUCGGUCGUGGAUACUGUCCUGUAAGACCUCUGUCUGAAUGACAGAGAGAAUGGUCGCCACACACUUAGGAUAGGUGAGAUGCAGGGUAUAGUAAUAACCCAUCAGAUACAGCAACCCUUCACCAAGUUCUUCUUUGGCAAAUGUAGUGACAGGAGUGUUUCCAAUUGCCAGAAGACAGCGGGACCCAUCAAAGACCAAAACAGGGCUGAAGAGGGUUCUCUUCUGGAGGUAGAUGGCUGGCUCUUCUGUUGGCUGAAGAAGAAAACAAAAAACAGAAGUUUCUUUAUGGUAUACUAAAAAAGUGAAAAACUGCUUGGGCAAGUGAACUGAGAUUUUUUUAAACACCAUUAUGUACAUCUACAGCUCUGGAAAAAAUUAAGAGAUAGCUUUUGCUGGUUUUACUAUUUAUAGGUAUGCGUUUGAGUAAAAUUAACAUUUUUGUUUCAUUCUAUAAAGUGCUGACAUUUCUCUCAUAUUUGAAAUUAAAAUAUUGCCAUUUAUUGCAUUUAUUUGCAGAAAAUGAAAACUGGUCAAAAUAACAAACAAAGAUGCAGUGUAUUCAGACCUCGAAUAAUGUAAAAAAAAAAACAUGUUCAUAUUCAUUUUUAAACAACACAACACUUAUAUUUUAACUAAGGAAGAGUUUAGAAAUCAUUAUUGGUGGGAUAAUCUCAAUCUUUAAUCACAGCAGUGUGAUUAAAGAUUGAGAG